GUAUUGCCUGCUGAUUUAACCCUUGUAGUAGGAACAAAAAGAGAAUGCGAUGCAAAUGAAAUCUCGUCUUUAGCCUCUCCAGUCUCCGCCUUUUGUUGGACUCGUAGCCUUUGCUUUCUCUCAGAAUCUCUCAACCAUGUGGCUUGUCAUUCUCGAACCACAUCUCCCUCUGCAAGAUCUUAUUUCUCAAAUGCUGGAAAAAAAACCAUUAACAAAUCAUUACCUGAAUUAACAGCAUAGCAUCCAAAUAGAAUUAGAUAAUCUAUGAAUUGCAAUUCCUUUAUUACUUUUAUUUUGUAGACCAAAAUGAUACUGUGGAAAUACAUCAGAUUAAUGGCUAGGG
Molecule: long non-coding RNA, 343 nt
Filed under: Elaeis guineensis (African oil palm)
Lineage: Eukaryota; Viridiplantae; Streptophyta; Magnoliopsida; Arecales; Arecaceae
Description: long non-coding RNA (EGUI_LNC034695)
Source: RNAcentral